RNAcentral lists this ribosomal RNA (497 nucleotides) under uncultured bacterium. RNAcentral's name for it is "partial 16S ribosomal RNA". It matches the Rfam family "Bacterial small subunit ribosomal RNA", at positions 28 to 507 of the family's 1533-position model. The record is from RNAcentral.
GACGAACGCUGGCGGCGUGCCUAAUACAUGCAAGUCGAGCGCUGAAGGUUGGUACUUGUACCAACUGGAUGAGCAGCGAACGGGUGAGUAACGCGUGGGGAAUCUGCAUUUGAGCGAGGGACAACAUUGGGAAACGAAUGCUAAUACCGCAUAAAAACUUUAAACACAAGCAUUAAGAUUGAAAGAUGCAAUUGCAUCACGCAAAGAUGAUCCCACGUUUUAUUAGCUAGGUGGUGAGGUAAAGGCUCACCAAGGCGAAGAUACAUAGCCGACCUGAGAGGGUUGUCCGCCCCCAUUGGACUUGGACACGGCCCCAACCCCUACGGGAGGCAGCAAGAGGGGAUCUUCCGCCAUGGACGGAAGGCUUACCGGGGCACGCCGCGGGAGGGGAGGAGGUUUUCGGAUCGUUAAACUCUGUUUGUAGGGAAGAACGGUGGUGAGAGUGGACAGCUCAUCAAGUGACGGUAACUACCCAGAAAGCCACGGCUAACUACGUG